GCAGCCUGAUGAGCACGCCGCGUGGGGGAUGAAGGCCUUCGGGUUGUAAACCCCUUUUAGCAGGGAAGAAGCGAAAGUGACGGUACCUGCAGAAAAAGCGCCGGCUAACUACGUGCCAGCAGCCGCGGUAAUACGUAGGGCGCAAGCGUUGUCCGGAAUUAUUGGGCGUAAAGAGCUCGUAGGCGGUUUGUCGCGUCUGCUGUGAAAGUCCGAGGCUCAACCUCGGAUCUGCAGUGGGUACGGGCAGACUAGAGUGUGGUAGGGGAGACUGGAAUUCCUGGUGUAGCGGUGGAAUGCGCAGAUAUCAGGAGGAACACCAAUGGCGAAGGCAGGUCUCUGGGCCAUAACUGACGCUGAGGAGCGAAAGCGUGGGGAGCGAACAGGAUUAGAUACCCUGGUAGUCCACGCCGUAAACGGUGGGCACUAGAUGUGGGGCUCUUUCCAUGAGUUCCGCGUCGCAGCUAACGCAUUAAGUGCCCCGCCUGGGGAGUACGGCCGCAAGGCUAAAACUCAAG
Molecule: ribosomal RNA, 515 nt
Filed under: uncultured Actinomycetes bacterium
Lineage: Bacteria; Bacillati; Actinomycetota; Actinomycetes
Description: bacterial SSU rRNA
Rfam family: Bacterial small subunit ribosomal RNA
Source: RNAcentral